CUAAGAAGCAGUAGUAUUCUAGAAAAGAGAAUACCAUCAUGGGUGGGGUGUUUCAAGCUACCCCACCACCCCCUGCCUUAGGAGGGCUUGUAAAGAAGUUAUUGCAGGAGUGGGACUCUGAAUAACAUCAUGGGAGCCUAACAUUGAAGCACAAGACUGAAUCCUUGCCUGUUUGGAUAUUUGUACUACUGCUGCAGGGAGAGAAAGGGGAUGAUCAGACAUGAAAACUGGAAAUGCCUACUAUGCACAAAACACAAUAGGUCUUGAACUGGAAGGGAAGGCUACCUUUCGAAUGGCAAGUAUGUGGAUUAUAUAUCCUUAUUCCUCCCCACUUCCACUUAAUAUGGCAGUGCUACUGUGGAAAGAGUACAGCGAGAUGGGCAGAUCUGGUGAACAAACAAGCAGCACUAAGGACUAUGCGGCAUUCGUCGUGGGGUGGAGCGUCCACUGCCAGGUGGAGAAGAGCCACAAAGGGAGCCACCAGGAAAGGGAGGAGGAAGAGAGCUCAUUGACCGAAAUCGACCAAGGUUGUCUAAACUCCCACUGCCAACGCGGCUUUCAAUUUCCUCUGCUCGCUGUUCAGUGUUUUCCUUCUCUUCUUGUAUCAGUCUAGAGCAUUUAAAAAAUGAUGCAAUUACAUUUUUGUAAAUUAUCUGCCACAAAAGAGGGACACAAGUCAGAACCAAAUAGAUAAAACAAGCAGAACAGUGGACCUGUGUAGAAAUGUGUAUGGACCCCUACCGUAUGUCAGGAGGGAGGAAUCAUAUUAAAUUCAGACAGAACAAAAAGCAAAUAAGAAAGCAGUUGAAAUAUGUAUUUUGCAAAAUACUGUCAAUGCUCCUUGUUUUCCCUUAAAAUACUAAAUGGAAUCAUAAGAUUAAUUUAAGGAGCCUCUGGAGCUCUGUUUAGCAAUAUAGCAUGAAUGGAAAGAACGGCCCUUGCCUUUAAAUUGUUUUGUGCUGUGCAAACUGUCAUUUAAAUUAGAGUUUAAAAAACAGUUAACAAAAUAUGGCUGGCUUGCUGUGAAAGCCCCUAUGUCCCCAUAUGCUUGUCUAUGUUCAACUGAUUGCCAAUUUAAAAUAAUUUUAUACAAUUUUGUCAACGUUUCACUGCCAUUUUACAUGGAUGCCAAACAAGCAGUCAACUAUCAUUAUUUUCAACAAUAACUAAAGCUACAGCAAGAGGAGGUCUAUUACAAAGGAUAACUGUUAACUAUUUAAGGGUGCUUCUUUACAUGUCCUAAUAAAAGCUAUGGUAUUACUAUUGAAUACCACUGAAUAGGUGGUCUUUGGGGUUGUGUCCAACACUAUCCUUCCACUGACAGAAAACUCUUUCAUCUAAUAGAGACCUAUGAGCAGACUGGGAAGGGAGGCUAUUUUUGAAGAUUUACCCUUCCUCCUGCAACCUCCAUGCCACUUCCCACAAUUGUUCUCCACAUCCAUCUCCCUCGGAGACUGGGAAGGGGGAGUGGCCGCUGUAGGGAGGGUGAAUGUGUGAAAGUUGCCUUCCUGGAUGAAUACUGUACUGUCCUCACUUGAUCAAUAAAUAUUUUUACUCCCUUUUUAAAAAUCUCUGAAAAAUUGCUGCUCCUGAAAAGUUUUGCAAAAAGUACCUGUGCCCUAAUUAUUAAUACAAGAUCAAUGGACACUUCAGACAUGCACUGACACUCAUGAAGCUGCAUAUACAGCAGUUUCUUUUUAAGCAGUGAAGUUAU
This is a long non-coding RNA of Rhineura floridana, 1714 nucleotides long. RefSeq lists it as uncharacterized. Lineage: Eukaryota; Metazoa; Chordata; Lepidosauria; Squamata; Rhineuridae. The record is from RefSeq and is a predicted model, not a curated record. The transcript has 3 exons.